UACGAAGGGGGCUAGCGUUGCUCGGAAUUACUGGGCGUAAAGGGCGUGUAGGCGGCUUCUUAAGUCAGGGGUGAAAUCCUGGGGCUCAACCCCAGAACUGCCCUUGAUACUGAGGAGCUUGAGUCCGGGAGAGGUGAGUGGAACUCCGAGUGUAGAGGUGAAAUUCGUAGAUAUUCGGAAGAACACCAGUGGCGAAGGCGGCUCACUGGCCCGGUACUGACGCUGAGGUGCGAAAGCGUGGGGAGCAAACAGG
RNAcentral lists this ribosomal RNA (253 nucleotides) under uncultured bacterium. RNAcentral's name for it is "partial 16S ribosomal RNA". It matches the Rfam family "Bacterial small subunit ribosomal RNA", at positions 524 to 776 of the family's 1533-position model. The record is from RNAcentral.